AGGAGUAUAGUUUAUAUAAAAUAGUCGAUUUGCAAUCGAUAGAAAACGUAAGUUUACUCUCA
Molecule: transfer RNA, 62 nt
Filed under: Branchinecta paludosa
Lineage: Eukaryota; Metazoa; Arthropoda; Branchiopoda; Anostraca; Branchinectidae
Description: tRNA-Ala
Source: RNAcentral